Molecule: unclassified non-coding RNA, 268 nt
Filed under: Hevea brasiliensis (rubber tree)
Lineage: Eukaryota; Viridiplantae; Streptophyta; Magnoliopsida; Malpighiales; Euphorbiaceae
Source: RNAcentral
AAAACUUCAUCCUGUUUUUAUAUGCCGUUUUAAUUAUAAUUUUAGCAUGGUUUAAAACUAGUUUGCUCAUGCUGAACUGGUAUAGUUAAAAUAUUAUUGAAGAAAGUGAAAAUGGAAUAAGUGGGAGCAAGUAUUCUGUUUGAUAAACAAAGAUUAGCUCCUCUGCAACUUACAAAUGCAAGCAUUACUUUCUUUCUUCUUUAUUUUGUGCUUUUCCCCCUUCUCUUCACAUUAGCUUAAGGUUUGGAUAAGAUACAUCUUUUAUGUA